This is a microRNA precursor of Pan paniscus (pygmy chimpanzee), 52 nucleotides long. The record is from Ensembl. NCBI's taxonomy places the organism in Eukaryota, Metazoa, Chordata, Mammalia, Primates, Hominidae.
GACCUAGGCUAGGGGUUCUUAGCAUAGGAGAUCUUCCCGUGCCAAGAACUCC